CAACUGGAACUGAAACCCAGGACUCCGUCUCUUGCCAGUGAAAGUUAUGUUAGGAAGCAGUGAGGGGUCUAAAGCAGUAUGAAAGGCAAAGAGAAAAGGAAGGAAGACUGUACACAGAGAAUAAAUAACUUGGCCAAGCCAUUCAGCUAGGAAGUUGUAGAUCCUAAAUUAAGAGUUCAAGGUCUUAAUGGCUACUCUAUGCGGCCUCUCAUAGUCUUUUCAAGGGUUUUGGAGAAGAAUAAAAGAUCAGUCAUCCACAGAUGUUUGAGUGGUUACAAUGUGCCAGCCUCCCUUCUAGGUACUGGAGAUAAAGUGGGACAAGAGAGGUGAGGUCUGGACCCUUGGCACUUUCACGAUAAAAUACACAGUUGCUUGUGAUACAUCAGUAUCCUCACUCACCCCCAACUCCAGAGGCUGAAACUAACUCUCCUCCUCCCUCUUCCAACUGCUGAGGAAGAUGAGUCAAUGGUGUUACUGGACCCUGUGAACUGAUGCUGUGAAGAGAGGCCAUUUAACACGGACUACGGGGAAUGGUGCCACAGGGGGCUCAGUGCUGCCCUUCACUCUCAGCAUUUUGCUCACUCAGCAUUGGUAAGCCACAUCAGCCUCGGUGAAGGAAGUCUGGAGAGUUAAGCCUGUGCUUCAUCUCCAUGCCAGCACCAUGGCACUCAUUGUACAUUCAGCAAGCCCCAAGGAAGCUGGCAGGAGGCUGGCUGACAUCUACGGGACAGGUCAAUUUGUUCUCUGGAGGGCACUCCAUGAGACGCAAAUAUCUUCACACCCUGUGCCCAUUUCAAGAGACUCUCUCACAUGCCUCCCCCACCUUGACCUCUGUGUCACCAGUCUUUCAAUCUUGUUUUUUCCAAAUCCUUAAGGUAGCAGCUGGCCAACACAUUAGCCACCACUGAUGAGUCAGUGUAGAUCUUACAUUGGGCCAUCUCUUUUUUCUUGCAAAAUAGAAAAGCAGAUGUUCUGCUCAAAGUUCUGUUUGUCAGUAAGAUUUCCCUUUCUGCUGUGUUUCAGGACAUCCCUGGGAGGGACUCUGAUGCAGCAGCCAUCUACUUAUUGCUAGUGCCAGCUUACUUUGCAUAACAUUGACUCCUUUCCCUCAUCUGUUGCCUAGUUGUAGGAAACUCCUUGUGAAGCUAUAGGUGUGCACUGAGGGAGAGACAUUGAGUCAAUGGGAGCAGGCAUCAUAGAGUCUAAGUUUUCUGCUAGUCUGAGUUUCUUGUGCCUUGUGGACCUGGUGGGCUUAUCUCCUUUAUCAUAUAGAUACAAUUUUCGCUUAAUAAUAGCAUGCUCCUGCAAAUGCCCAAUUUUAUCAUGUGGUAGAUUAGGCAACACUCAGUUUAUUAGGGUAGCUAGGUUGUGCAGUUACUUGAUGUUAUGGAUUGAAUUGUGUCCCUCCAAAAGAUAUAUUAGAAUCCCAACCUUUAGGACUUCAGAGUGUGACAUUAUUUGAAUAUAGGGUCUUUACAGAGUUAAUCAAUUUUUUUGAAUCUUAUAUAGCUUUUAUUUCAG
Molecule: long non-coding RNA, 1521 nt
Filed under: Homo sapiens (human)
Lineage: Eukaryota; Metazoa; Chordata; Mammalia; Primates; Hominidae
Description: HSALNT0042272
Source: RNAcentral